RNAcentral lists this ribosomal RNA (433 nucleotides) under uncultured bacterium. RNAcentral's name for it is "partial 16S ribosomal RNA". It matches the Rfam family "Bacterial small subunit ribosomal RNA", at positions 29 to 507 of the family's 1533-position model. The record is from RNAcentral.
AACGAACGCUGGCGGCAGGCCUAACACAUGCAAGUCGAGCGCGCCCUUCGGGGUGAGCGGCGGACGGGUGAGUAACGCGUGGGAACGUGCCCUUUUCUACGGAAUAGCCUCGGGAAACUGAGAGUAAUACCGUAUACGCCCUUUGGGGGAAAGAUUUAUCGGAAAAGGAUCGGCCCGCGUUGGAUUAGGUAGUUGGUGGGGUAAUGGCCUACCAAGCCGACGAUCCAUAGCUGGUUUGAGAGGAUGAUCAGCCACACUGGGACUGAGACACGGCCCAGACUCCUACGGGAGGGAGGAGUGGGGAAUCUUAGAAAAUGGGGGCAACCCUGAUCGAGCCAUGCCGCGUGAGUGAUGAAGGCCUUAGGGUUGUAAAGCUCUUUCAGCUGGGAAGAUAAUGACGGUACCAGCAGAAGAAGCCCCGGCUAACUCCGUG